GAGAAGAACGUAGCGAAAUGCGAUAAGUAAUGUGAAUUGCAGAAUUCAGUGAAUCAUCGAAUCUUUGAACGCACAUUGCGCCCGCCAGUAUUCUGGCGGGCAUGCCUGUUCGAGCGUCAUUUCAACCAUCAAGCCCUGCUUGCGUUGGGGUCCUGCGGCUGCCCGCAGGCCCUGAAAACCAGUGGCGGGCUCGCUAGUCACACCGAGCGCAGUAAUACAUCUCGCUUUGGGCGUGCGGCGGGUUCUUGCCGUUAAACACCCCCUUUUUACCAAGGUUGACCUCGGAUCAGGUAGGAAUACCCGCUGAACUUAAGCAUAUCAAUAGCGGAGA
This 331-nucleotide unclassified non-coding RNA is filed under the name soil metagenome. RNAcentral describes it as "partial contains 5.8S ribosomal RNA, internal transcribed spacer 2, and large subunit ribosomal RNA". The stretch from base 3 to 119 matches the Rfam family "5.8S ribosomal RNA", at positions 38 to 154 of the family's 154-position model. The record is from RNAcentral.